Molecule: long non-coding RNA, 203 nt
Filed under: Mytilus galloprovincialis (Mediterranean mussel)
Lineage: Eukaryota; Metazoa; Mollusca; Bivalvia; Mytilida; Mytilidae
Source: RNAcentral
CUAUUUUAUCAGCAAUCAAAGACGAGCUUCAAAGUUAUCGUGAAACUGCCUAUUCUAGAGGUGGCGUGAAUCAGAUGUGGAUACUUAAAAUUCCAAAGAUCUUUUAGAGUACUUACAAUUUAACUCUUUCAUCUUGUAAUAGUAUUAAAACAUUUGACUUUUCUACACUUUACACAAGUAUUCCACAUUCCAAACUAAAAGAC